RNAcentral lists this long non-coding RNA (2048 nucleotides) under Androctonus crassicauda. The record is from RNAcentral. Lineage: Eukaryota; Metazoa; Arthropoda; Arachnida; Scorpiones; Buthidae.
AAAAAAGUAAAAUAAGGAUUUAAAACACAAAGUGACGUAGUUAAACAACAAAAGAGUAAAUAUAACAAACGCCAAAUCGACAAAACAACACGAACUCGACAAUGGCACGUAGCCCAAUAACAUAAUUUCAAUAAUAGAUGAAUUAUUGAUAAAUAGAUUUUUAUUCUAUUAAAACACUAAACCUUGUGUCAUCCGCGAGGAAACGAAACGCUUGGCCUGUUUAACACAACGUUAUAACCAUAAAAUGGGUCGUGUGACGUCACCCUCGUAACACGCGUCUUUCUAGGAACAAAAUUCGGACCUUAAAACCUAGCGCGACAUCUGCCGACGCCCGGUGGAAAUGUAAAUCACCGGAUAAUCGGUAGAAUUGGUAGUGUAUGCAAAAGCGGAAGUUUAAAGUUCAUUUCCUGGUUUGGCAACGGUUAAAGUUUAGAAAUUCAGAAUGAAAUAUUGUCAAAACACUUAGUGGAGACGGUAAACACGGGUUUAAAAAUAUUUGAAGGUUUUUCGGAUAUUUUCCAUCUUUUUUUUUUUUUCCUCGACUAUCCCGUGUUGUUCGAGUUUGCGCGCUAUUAAAGUAGAAAUUUUUUUUCUCGUAUUGAGUAUCUGUUUUGUAUGUAAUCUCUGCUGAUACGACUAGUUUGACAGUUAAUGAACUAAGUUGCGAGUCGGAGAAAAUGGAAGAUGACAACGUGCCGUCGUCGAGUUAUUGUUUCCACUUCGGAUAGAACUUUGCACACUAAACUGACAAACAUUAUCAUCGUCUCCUGUGUUUUUUUCGCGCGCUCUUGUGUUUCGUGUUUUUUUUAACCAUACCGUAUGUUUUUCCGAUCUGUCGUUAAUACCAUUCCUUUCUCUCUAGUGUUAAUCGGGUGUAUGGCAAAAUUAAAAAAAAAAUUUUUUUGGGGACAGAAAAACAGAAUUUUUGGCUUUGCAAUGUCUUGGAGUAAUAUUCAGCCACGAUACAGAGCAGCCCGUUAUUAUUAAGUAACCCCUACUGUGUACAAAGUCCCAUCCUUUCGAGACUAAUUGCUUCCCCUUUCUUGCCCUUCAGAUGCCAUUUAAGGAGCCUUAUACCGGGUAACUUAAGACGUACAAAGCCAAUUUUGGUAUAUUGAGCAUGGAUGCCCUCGGGAUACUAGCAUCCAGAAAGCAUUACACGAUGAUGUUAAAUUCAAAUGUGCCAGACUUACGUGCGUAAAGUAAGAGCAUUUGGAAAAUGAUGUGUAGAAGCGCGUAGGAAGAGAUAGGAGAGUAUUGUCUCAAUAGUAAACAGCGUAAAAUAAAGAUUUAUUGUCGACAAAUAAGAAAGAAGAGCGCGUGGCAUGACUAACCUGGGGCUAGCGACAGAGUCGACCUCGAGCGGCCAACAGACGAACUACUUUAGCGAACUAAUUUACACGUCUAUCUGUCGCGUCCCCGACCUCGUCCUCAGUCAGAAUACACUAUCCGUCAUUCACCGCACCGGCGAUACAAGUUAUCCGUAAAGCGGUUACGGUGCAACAGCAGUGCCACCGGUGGCCCGGGGCGAGUCAGGCGAAGCGUGGCGCCACAAGCGGCGAACGACCGCUGGGGGAAGGUGAUGGAUGGUGGCUAGACAUUUCAUUGGCUUGCCGUUGGGGGGCGCCACCGUGCCAGCUGCCUCCGCUGCUGCCAGUCUCUUCAGACGUACGGUGGUGUGUGGUGUGUGUGUGUGUGCUGUGUUGUGUGAGAGUGUGCGUCGUCUCUCCCAACAUCCGUGCAUCCGAGGGGAUGGAACGGCUAUUGAGCUUUACUUUCGGUUUGGUGUGAAGAGUUAGGACGUUUGCUUCUAUUGCGGCAUCAGAAGUGUCGCACGGGUGGAGAAAGUCCUACUAAACAGACAGGGGCGAUGUAUCAACCCCUCCAGAAGAACCUUCCGCCUCAGAGGUAAAUUCUUAAAAAUUUUUUUUUUUAAGAUGUAAUUUUAGCUAUCGUGCCAAUUAAGCUGUUAUACGUAAUAAUAAAAUAUGCAUUUAUUUUUAGUUAAGAUGUUCUAAGAAUGCAUUAGAUCAAACAAUCGCUGAGAG